This 4079-nucleotide long non-coding RNA is filed under the name Malus domestica (apple). Its description in RNAcentral is "long non-coding RNA (MDOM_LNC012875)". Lineage: Eukaryota; Viridiplantae; Streptophyta; Magnoliopsida; Rosales; Rosaceae. The record is from RNAcentral.
CAUUACUUUACAUGGUGUGUGACCCAUUAGGUUCCUUUUAGUGAGGCAGUGGGCGAUUAGAACUCUUACUAAUUGAUUAUGAAUUGAAACUUACUUUCAAUUCUCCCUUAAGUGAUUAUACACUUUUAGGGCUUCCACAAGCCAUGAGUGACACCUAGCAGUAUGUCAUGGCUACCCAAGCUAAUCAAAAGAGGUUGGAGAACCUAUUUAGCUUGAGAUUACAAUGCAAUACAGUCUUUCUCUAAUACAAUACUCUUGACCACAUUGUUUGGUUUGAUAGUUUAUUCAUGUCUACUACCAAAUGUGAUCCUCUAACUUUUAUGAUUACCUUGAAUAUGAUUUGGAACGACUUCCUAAAUCUCAUUCAUACUCUAGCCAGAGAUUCUUAAUCAUAUCAUAGAGUAUUCUCCCUCGAGGGUUUGAAGGUUAACAAUCCCUUGUUGUGCACUCACAUGCCUCUAUAGUUAAGUGGCUUAAUGGACACCCUCUGAUGGUGUGCCCUUGACACAGUCAAAGAUCAAGGACCUAACCACAAGACAACUAUGAUGCCUCAGGUCAAAUGACUACUUUGCAUUAUCCCAACCUUUAGUUCUGAUGUGACAUGAGUACAAGAACCCAUUGUUGAUCGCAUGUAGUUGACUCAUCCUCUAUUGAGCACCUGCAUACUUGUCUUGGUGUUAGUCACACCAAUGACUCGAGACCAAUCAUUUUCCUAGAGAAAAGAUAGUGUGUACUGAUCUUAACGGACCGUCAAUGUUCAAUUAGCAAUCCUAUGAUUAGGAACGUUUAGGAUAUGUGUAUGAAAGAGAAUGGUCUACUAAACCGAACUUCAUUCGAUCACAUUCUCCCAAUUACAUAUUCCUUGGACUUAUUGUCAAGCAUAUAACAUUUAUAUGAGACAGCUUUAAACAAUAAUCUUUUUUGUUAUAUUAAACUAGAUUAGUUUAACAUGUGAAAUGUUCGUAAAGUAUCAUCAUAUGAAUGACUUUAGGGCACAUUUCCAAUAAUCUCCCACUUGCACUAGAGCCAAUUAGCUUGUCAUUAGUGAUGAUACAUGUACUGAAUUCAUUUCAAAAAUAACUAUAUGGUAUGCAUAUGUUAUCCAUGGAAGCAACCUUAAGAUUAACGAUGUCGCCAUUGGACAUGAUUCUCAAUCAUCUUGUUCAGUCUCUCAGCUGUGUUCUGAUCUUGAUGAGACCUAGAUUCUCUGGCUUGAGCUAUCACCCCAUUAGUGGCAUAAUGUGGGUACACUAGUGACACUUUCUGGUUAGAACCAAAUUGAGAGUUCAGAAAUGAACUUUCCCAUCGAAACAACAUUGUUGUAAGCAACUAUACGGUGAUAUAUUUUGCAUGCAUGAUGGAACACACUAGACUUUUAGUGUUUCCAACCAAAUAUCUCUUUAUUCAUAAUAAAGAGAUAUCCAAUUAUCUCUUCAGUCAUAAUGAAGAGAUAUCCAAUGAAGGAUAUGAUAUUAGAUUCAUAAUCUAAUACGUUUAUGUUUCCGUUCAUUACUAUAAUUCUUCCUCAUUCGUGAGGAGGCUAUCCUUUAGUAUUUCUUAAAUAUGUAAGGACACACUUGACAGUUGCCAUAGUUCUAAUCCUGGGCUUGCACUGAUAUCAUCUUGUACCAAUCUUGGUACAACUCAUAUCAACAUUUUUCAUACAAUAUGAAAUACGUAAAUCACCCUUCUGUGUAUGAUACAGGAUUCUAUUUAUGCUUUAUGUUUCUUUGGGAGUCAAAGGGUACAUUCCCUUUUAAAAGAGGAACUUCCCAGUCUGACUGGAAUUGUCCUUCCAUUUGAAGUUUAUCAUUUGAGGAACUUCCUACAUCUAUCGUCUAUCAAUAGGAAUUGAGAUAAUCCAAUUAUAUCUGGAAACCUAUCAUUAUAGAUUUUUAUCCCAAGUAUAUAGACUAUGUCUCCCAUAUACAUUGUAUUAUUAUAGAACAGUUAAAGUCAUAACUAUAUUGAAGAAGAAUUCCUUUCAUUUCCAAAAUUAAUAUAUCAUAUAUAUGUCCAAAUUUAGGAAUAUGGUUAGCUCCCACUAAUCUUUUGUAAACCUAGUAAACAAAAGAUUGAUUUACAUCUUUACGAGAAAUCAAAUGAUUUGAACUUUUCUCAUAAGACGCUUAUAGCUCCCACUAGCUUGCUGAGAUUCAUGAUGGAUGGAUCUCUACAACUUACACAUCUUAUGAUUCCUAGUAUUAGACAUAUUAUCAAGACUAUCUUGAUAAUGGUUUCGAAAACCCAUAUUAUUUCCAAACAUUGAAUCACCGUUUAGUUGUAGCAAGCAAUCUUUGAAUUAAUUUAAACCAAGACUACGUCAAAGAUGGUUUCUUCCAGGUCAACUAAUCUCUUUGAUUGUAGUCACCUUAAACUACCAAUUAGCUUUGAAGGUUUCAUUUUUUUGGGUCAAAUGGUAUUAUACCAUUUCCUUGAGUAUAUGUCAUACACACAGUCAAUGUAGUCAUAAGGAUCUCCAUUCUUAUUUCUUUCAAAUUAAGAGGUGUAACUCUAUGACAUAGUCCUAAAGUUCAAACCAUUCAUCUGAGAUGGUUUAUAUAUCCUUCUUGACUAUCUUGGAGCUCGUGGUGUAUGAACUAGGUUGUAACAUUUUUUGAGUAUCAUCUUGUCUCUCAAAGAACCCAUUCUUUGAGUUCUCUCUCAUUCGUUUGCUCUAUCUUAGGAAAAUCCUAUUGUAGGAUUACAAUGAACUAUCCAACAAACAACAUUUGUUAGUCAGUUUUUAGAAGUGAUAUCCAACAAGAUAAUGCUAAUACAAACAUUGCCCUUUUAGCAAACAUGCAUUAAGUCAAUUAACAUAUGCAUGAUGACCCCACAUCUUAACUUGAUUAAGACUUGUCUUUCUUUCCAAUUACAUCCUAUGGAGUGAUGAGACAUUUUGGAAGAUAUUCUAAUUGACAAUCAUUUUGUCUUAUAAGUGUAUAUCCUAUGUAUGGGUAAUUUGAUAAUAUUUAAUGAACCACAUCUUACUCGAGUUUGUUCUUCUCCCAACGGAGAAAUCCAUUAUCUUAUGACACUACUUUCCUUGACACCUUUCAAGGAAACUCUUCUAAAGCGCUCUUUUCCUUCGAUCAAAUCUAAAAAGGUAAGUACUUUAGACGUCUUACUCAGUAACUUACAUUCUUGAAUUCUUUGAAACCUUUUGCAAAGUAUUCAGACUUGUGUUUAUUUAAAAUACACAAUAGUCCAACCGAGAGUGAUCUUCGGUGAAAGCCAUACAACAUGAGUAGUAUUAUGUUGUGGACAAGUGCCAUUAACAUCUAAGUGAAUUAACCUCAACAACUUUGUGACUCUUUCCUCUUUCCAAAAGAAUAAAGAUUUGAACAUUUCACCUCUAUACAAGUUUAACAAGACGGCAUUGGAUCCGAAUCUAACGAUCCAAAGCAUCCAUCUAUGACCAACUUGCAAUUUAUGUUUUCGAGGUGUCACAACUCAAUAGGGUUAGUGACUACCUUGUAACCUUUUGGGUUUUAAGCAUCGUUAUACUCUAAACAGUUAACACUGCCACAUCAUCUCUACAAUAUAGAGACAAUUAAUUGGAUUACAAUAAUCCAUUCAUUCAUUAUUACAGAACAAUGUUUAGUCAAACAAAACAUUCAUCCAUCUCUUAAAACUAUAGUGACGGAAUUAAGUUCCUUAUUCAAAUUGGAAUGUAAAGACAAUCUUUGUUUUUCCAAUUUCUUUGGUAGUUCAUAUGAGGAAGUAAGUACUACCUACUUUCGCAGAGAUCUAUAUCUUUAUUCACGUUCCGAAUGUGAAGUACUUUCUCUUCUCACAUAAAUCUUCUACUUCUUGUUAGUUAGUCUUUUACAAUGAUUGUAAAACAUAGUUACUAAUACAUAAUUAAACAUUCAAGUAGAAAAACUUACUACUUUGAACUUUUUGAUAGGAGCAUAUUUAUGCGACUUAGUUGGCUUGUUCUUGUGCAUUUAUGUCGUGUUUCCUUAGUUAUGUUAAUGUUUAAAGUCAUUUUCGUGUGUUUUCAGAUUUGAUGGACAAAGUAGGCAAGAAGAUGCAUUUUGGAGCAUUUUGGAGCAAAAUGGAGCUUGGAAUGC